AUUGCUUCUCGACGUUUGGCUAAGAUCAAGUGUAGUAUCUGUUCUUAUCUAUUAAAAAUUUUUUUUUAACAUCUUUA
RNAcentral lists this small nuclear RNA (77 nucleotides) under Suricata suricatta (meerkat). Its description in RNAcentral is "U2 spliceosomal RNA (ENSSSUG00005013739.1)". It matches the Rfam family "U2 spliceosomal RNA". Rfam says of the family: U2 is a small nuclear RNA (snRNA) component of the spliceosome (involved in pre-mRNA splicing). Complementary binding between U2 snRNA (in an area lying towards the 5' end but 3' to hairpin I) and the branchpoint sequence (BPS) of the intron results the bulging out of an unpaired adenosine, on the BPS, which initiates a nucleophilic attack at the intronic 5' splice site, thus starting the first of two transesterification reactions that mediate splicing. Lineage: Eukaryota; Metazoa; Chordata; Mammalia; Carnivora; Herpestidae. The record is from Rfam by way of RNAcentral.